Molecule: ribosomal RNA, 497 nt
Filed under: uncultured bacterium
Lineage: Bacteria
Description: partial 16S ribosomal RNA
Rfam family: Bacterial small subunit ribosomal RNA
Source: RNAcentral
GAUGAACGCUGGCGGCGUGCCUAGUACAUGCAAGUCGAGCGAACGGACGAGAAGCUUGCUCCUCUGAUGUUAGCGGCGGACGGGUGAGUAACACGUGGAUAACCUACCUAUAAGACUGGGAUAACUUCGGGAAACCGGAGCUAAUACCGGAUAAUAUUUUGAACCGCAUGGUUCAAAAGUUAAAGACGGUUUUGCUGUCACUUAUAGAUGGAUCCGCGCUGCAUUAGCUAGUUGGUAAGGUAACGGCUUACCAAGGCAACGAUGCGUAGCCGACCUGAGAGGGUGAUCGGCCACACUGGAACUGAGACACGGUCCAGACUCCUACGGGAGGCAGCAGUAGGGAAUCUUCCGCAAAGGGCGAAAGCCUGACGGAGCAACGCCGCGUGAGUGAUGAAGGUCUUCGGAUCGUAAAACUCUGUUAUUAGGGAAGAACAUAUGUGUAAGUAACUGUGCACGUCUUGACGGUACCUAAUCAGAAAGCCACGGCUAACUACGUG